UCCAUGCUCCACAGGUGGGAGUGGAGAGCAGCGUGCCGAGCAGCAUGUCCUCUCCUCUAGCACGGCCUAUCCUUUCACAGCACCUCUGUCUACAGGCAUACAGUUGAAAACACCAAAUCUUCACAAAAUGUUCCUCCCUCUGACACCUUCCCAAGCAAAAAUGGUGUUGUGCUGAAAGGCAUCACCCCUGCGGCAGGCGAGGAGGCCAGAAGGUGCCAGGGAGCCCUCCAGUACGAGGACACAUGCUGACCACAAAACGCAGACUUUGUUUCCGUUUAUCCUCCUUCCCCAGCCCAUGCUACACAUGGGCAGCCUGAUGCUGGUUUCUCUUCACUGUCACCCAGGGACUGGUUCCCACCUCCUCCUAAGCACUGCCUGUGCCUCGGUUUUCCCAUGCUAUGGGUUUUCAGAGAGGGCUUUUCCUGUGCUGGACAGGUGGGGAAAGAAGAUUCUCCAACCGAGAUAGUUCCCUCAAAAUCACCAAAAUGCCCCCAGCACCUCCCAGAUCAGGCACUCCAGCACAAGUUUGUUGUGCCUCUACACUGUUAGUGGGAAGAAAAGAUGGCAAUUAAAAUAAAUUAGAGGCUGGCAGCCCCAUUUGUCAUCAGGGAGCUGUUACAAUCUGAAUAGGGUGGGAACUCAGGCAGGAGACAAUCAAUAAAGCAGGGCUGUAAGGAGACACCCACCAACCUUCAGGCAGAGCCCCGAAAUCAAAAGCCUGCCUGACUUUGCUAUCGGAGCAGUGCUGGCCCUGGGGAAGGAAGGCGUGAGCUGAGUUCCCUCCAGCCCUUGGGUUUCCAAGCUGGGAGCUAUGGGCAAGGCUUUGCUGCUCAAGGAGACCCUUUUGCACGGCGUAACGGGAUCCUCUGCAACUUGGAGGAGCAGUGAAUAAUUCAUGGGCUCUGGCAGAUCACGCAGCCCUGGGGCAGACCUGGGAUUUUAUCCUUCCUUCAGCCCAGGAUGCUCCUAGGAACAAGGGGACCUUCCUACUCCUGAAGCACUGGGGACUGAAAAACACUUUGGGAUCUCAGAGCCAGUGGGGGAGCUGAAGCAAAGCACAUUGUGCUGCUCCCAGCUGUCCCAGUGUGUCACCCGCCACGCAUCAGCCCUGCAGCAGCUUCAUACCGUCCUCCUGGGGGAACCCUGCUGAGCACUUGUCUCUCUCCUUGAAGGCAUUUCAGGACCAUUUCAAUCCCGUGCAUGUUCACCUCUCCUGGUCCACCAGCAGCUCCAUUGGUUCCCCUCCAGAAGGGCCAGGCUCAGCCCUGUACCUCUGUGGCCAUUCCCAGCCGCUGUGGCCCAAGGAGCAAAGAUGGACAGCUCUCAGGCAGGCAGUUACUCCUGGGGGAGGAAAACUGCGAUGGACUGGGUGGUUACACAGCAGGUGCCCUGGAUUUGGCCUGCUGAUGGACCCUGAAGGAAGAUGACCUUGUUUUGGAAGCCCCAAGGGACCAGCACGUGGCUGCAUGCUGCAUCGAGGCAGUUGACAGGCACGGGGAGGUGGCUGGGAACCACCUUGCCACCCCUGCCCCACAUCUCCCCCUCUUCCACCCCAGCAGCCUCCAUCCCUCCAACCUGCACUGGAUCCCGUGGGUCUUCAUCAAAAACCGUUCUGUACAUUUGGUGCCUGGAGCUCCCUCAGCCAUGGACUAUGAAUUCUUGCUAAAUAUAUAUUUAAGGGAGUCAUGGGGAUAUUUUUAAAUGACCCCUGAAGCUAUUUCUGCUUAAUCUCCCUCACUUUUCCUCUGUCUCUCUCCCUGAUCUCCUCCGCAGAGGAUGAGAGCUCAUUUUCAUCUCUCCUGUCUGGGCGACAAGGAGCCUGGCUGAGCGCAGACAAAAGCCAGUCCAAAAACGAGCAGACAGAGCUGAGAGAGAACAGCACCCGGGUCUGCUCCAGCCCAGAGCAACCAGGGCGAAAAACCUCUCUGCAGCCCUGCCCAGGUAUGCAAGGGGCUUUCGGCCCCUCUCUGAUCUGAGAGGAGAGGAAACCCAACCACUCAGCGCGAGACCCGUGUGCAGUCCUGGUGCUGGGGCCAGCCUUCAGCCCACGCUCAAAAGCAAAUACACCCCCAGCACACUCCACUCACAGCCCUGCCCGCAGCCCCACCACUUUCUUUCCACCCAGCCCAAGCCAUUUCACUGCUCCUGUGUCCCAGUUCCCCCACUGGACACCUGGGGGUAAUCACCCGGCCCUGCGGCUGGGGGGCCCCGGUGCCUCCCGGCCCCGCAGCUGGAAGAGGUUAUUUUCUGAGGCAGCCCUCAGGGGAAGGGCACUGGGUGUGCACUCACACACAUGUGGAUUUAUUACACCUAAAUGCUGCCAGGAGAGGCAUACAAAUGAGUGAAAAAGCCAAGGAACUAUUUGUUUAACCCUUUCAGCCCCAUGGCAGUCCCCUGCCCCAUCCUCCUGCUGGUGCCCUUGAGAAGCUGCCCUUGUUCAUCGCAGGCAAACUGCUUGUUCAUCUUCCCUGCAGAUUUCCUCACAUGGAGCCUGCCAUUUGCUUUCUUCCAGCAGUUCCCCUGCUGCUCAGGCACUUCCAGGUGCCUCCAGCCUGCGAGGCACAGACUGACCAGGCUCCCUAUGGGAAAUGCAGACAAGAGCAGGUAGUAAAGCAAGGAGGGAAUCUAACUCCCCGAGCCUGAAGCAGGAUUUAACCCACAUCUGGACCAUCCUGAGCGAGCAGCCUCAUUCUGAAGCCUGCAUUUCUCCAGUAAGAUUUAACCAUCAGGGUCCAGCCUGGACUUCUCACACAGACUCCCCCAAAGCAUCCCACAAGGCACGUGGAGGAGCAUGGACAUGGGAACAGACGUCUCACAGCCCAAGGACACUCAGAGCUUAGGUUUUGAUCCAAAUCUCUCCAGAAAGCUUUAUGAGACUCUAGUUGCUUUUCCCUGGUGCUUAAUGACCUCGGGGGUAGAGGCUGCCAGUAAUCAGGUUACCAUCACUCUGCCGAGAUGCAAUAAGCGCUGCUGACACUCACAGUGCAUUCAUGGCAAGCUACAUUGCGUGAGUUGGUGCAGCCUGUUUCUCCCUGGGUGCUUGCUACACAUUGAGGAGUUUGGCACUGCAGUUGUUUCUCACACCUCAGUCAAAGGCAGACUUGAGCUGCUGCAAAUAUUUGUCUGCUUUCUGGAAAAAAAAAUAAUCAAAAAUAAUGGCUGAGAGAUGGGACAUAGGAGCUGUGAACAGGAGAAACUGCAUGGCUUACUUCUUACCACAGGUCCUUUGGAAGCCCUCUUGUGCAUUCAGUCUUGGAGAUGCUUCACAAGCUGUUGCAUCCACAUUUCAGCACAGGA
Molecule: non-coding RNA, 3297 nt
Organism: Anas platyrhynchos (mallard)
Lineage: Eukaryota; Metazoa; Chordata; Aves; Anseriformes; Anatidae
Source: RefSeq, a predicted model, not a curated record